Molecule: ribosomal RNA, 252 nt
Filed under: uncultured bacterium
Lineage: Bacteria
Description: partial 16S ribosomal RNA
Rfam family: Bacterial small subunit ribosomal RNA
Source: RNAcentral
UACGUAGGUCCCGAGCGUUGUCCGGAUUUAUUGGGCGUAAAGCGAGCGCAGGUGGUUUAUUAAGUCUGGUGUAAAAGGCAGUGGCUCAACCAUUGUAUGCAUUGGAAACUAUGUUACUAGAGUGCAGGAGAGGUAAGCGGAAUUCCUAGUGUAGCGGUGAAAUGCGUAGAUAUUAGGAGGAACACCAGUGGCGAAGGCGGCUUACUGGACUGUAACUGACGUUGAGGCUCGAAAGCGUGGGGAGCAAACAGG